Molecule: long non-coding RNA, 1086 nt
Organism: Oncorhynchus keta (chum salmon)
Lineage: Eukaryota; Metazoa; Chordata; Actinopteri; Salmoniformes; Salmonidae
Exons: 3
Source: RefSeq, a predicted model, not a curated record
UCUUUAUCUAUAUUGGUUGAUGCCAGGAUCUGAUGUGCGGAAAGAUAUUUGUGCUGGGCUAAAUGUAACUCAGUUGAUAACUAAACCAAUUCUCCCCAACUUCAAACACCCCGAAACAUCUUCUCCGAUAGAUAUUGUUCAAAUGCCCCUCAUCAAUUUUACAGCCAAUGGGAUAUUUGCCAAUGAGUUCAUUGUCCGAUUGCCGGUAUAAGAGAUAUUAAACUACCUAAAUCUCACUCACACAUUAUUAUAAAGAUACAUUUGAGGAAUUACAUUUUAUUAGUCUGAGCUGGGUUUGAGUGACUUGGGGGGUUGUGUCAACAAUCAGUGACUCAAAUUAGGCUCUUAAUGACUCCACCCCCUCGUUACCUCAGCAGGUUCUGACAGCCUCUGGUCCCAUUCUAGACUAAAUGACUCCACCCCCUCGUUACCCCAGCAGGUUCUGACAGCCUCUGGUCCCAUUCUAGACUAAAUGACUCCACCCCCUCGUUACCCCAGCAGGUUCUGACAGCCUCUGGUCCCAUUCUAGACUAAAUGACUCCACCCCCUCGUUACCCCAGCAGGUUCUGACAGCCUCUGGUCCCAUUCUAGACUAAAUGACUCCACCCCCUCGUUACCCCAGCAGGUUCUGACAGCCUCUGGUCCCAUUCUAGACUAAAUGACUCCACCCCCUCGUUACCCCAGCAGGUUCUGACAGCCUCUGGUCCCAUUCUAGACUAAAUGACUCCACCCCCUCGUUACCCCAGCAGGUUCUGACAGCCUCUGGUCCCAUUCUAGACUAAAUGACUCCACCCCCUCGUUACCCCAGCAGGUUCUGACAGCCUCUGGUCCCAUUCUAGACUAAAUGACUCCACCCCCUCGUUACCCCAGCAGGUUCUGACAGCCUCUGGUCCCAUUCUAGACUAAAUGACUCCACCCCCUCGUUACCCCAGCAGGUUCUGACAGCCUCUGGUCCCAUUCUAGACUAAAUGACUCCACCCCCUCGUUACCUCAGCAGGUUCAUCCGGCAAACUGCUUUAAAGGAUCAUCUCUGAAAAUGAUCUCAUCAUAGAGGUGGAGGAGGUGGAGGGGGAGCCCUUUAGUCAC